RNAcentral lists this ribosomal RNA (787 nucleotides) under uncultured bacterium. RNAcentral's name for it is "bacterial SSU rRNA". It matches the Rfam family "Bacterial small subunit ribosomal RNA", at positions 18 to 794 of the family's 1533-position model. The record is from RNAcentral.
CAUGGCUCAGAUUGAACGCUGGCGGCAGGCCUAACACAUGCAAGUCGAGCGGUAGCACAAGAGAGCUUGCUCUCUGGGUGACGAGCGGCGGACGGGUGAGUAAUGUCUGGGRAACUGCCUGAUGGAGGGGGAUAACUACUGGAAACGGUAGCUAAUACCGCAUAACGUCUUCGGACCAAAGUGGGGGACCUUCGGGCCUCACGCCAUCAGAUGUGCCCAGAUGGGAUUAGCUAGUAGGUGGGGUAAUGGCUCACCUAGGCGACGAUCCCUAGCUGGUCUGAGAGGAUGACCAGCCACACUGGAACUGAGACACGGUCCAGACUCCUACGGGAGGCAGCAGUGGGGAAUAUUGCACAAUGGGCGCAAGCCUGAUGCAGCCAUGCCGCGUGUGUGAAGAAGGCCUUCGGGUUGUAAAGCACUUUCAGCGAGGAGGAAGGGUAGUGUGUUAAUAGCACAUUGCAUUGACGUUACUCGCAGAAGAAGCACCGGCUAACUCCGUGCCAGCAGCCGCGGUAAUACGGAGGGUGCAAGCGUUAAUCGGAAUUACUGGGCGUAAAGCGCACGCAGGCGGUUUGUUAAGUCAGAUGUGAAAUCCCCGCGCUUAACGUGGGAACUGCAUUUGAAACUGGCAAGCUAGAGUCUUGUAGAGGGGGGUAGAAUUCCAGGUGUAGCGGUGAAAUGCGUAGAGAUCUGGAGGAAUACCGGUGGCGAAGGCGGCCCCCUGGACAAAGACUGACGCUCAGGUGCGAAAGCGUGGGGAGCAAACAGGAUUAGAUACCCCGGUAGU